UGAGGAAUAUUGGUCAAUGGGCGGGAGCCUGAACCAGCCAAGUCGCGUGAGGGAAGACGGUCCUAUGGAUUGUAAACCUCUUUUGUCGGGGAGCAAAGAGGCCACGUGUGGUCAAAAGCGAGAGUACCCGAAGAAAAAGCAUCGGCUAACUCCGUGCCAGCAGCCGCGGUAAUACGGAGGAUGCGAGCGUUAUCCGGAUUUAUUGGGUUUAAAGGGUGCGUAGGCGGGACGGUAAGUCAGCGGUAAAAAUGCGGAGCUCAACUCCGUCGAGCCGUUGAAACUGCCGUUCUUGAGUGAGCGAGAAGUAUGCGGAAUGCGUGGUGUAGCGGUGAAAUGCAUAGAUAUCACGCAGAACUCCGAUUGCGAAGGCAGCAUACCGGCGCUCAACUGACGCUGAAGCACGAAGGCGUGGGUAUCGAACAGGAUUAGAUACC
Molecule: ribosomal RNA, 434 nt
Filed under: uncultured bacterium
Lineage: Bacteria
Description: bacterial SSU rRNA
Rfam family: Bacterial small subunit ribosomal RNA
Source: RNAcentral